This 459-nucleotide ribosomal RNA is filed under the name uncultured bacterium. RNAcentral describes it as "partial 16S ribosomal RNA". It matches the Rfam family "Bacterial small subunit ribosomal RNA", at positions 338 to 795 of the family's 1533-position model. The record is from RNAcentral.
CCUACGGGAGGCAGCAGUGAGGAAUAUUGGUCAAUGGGCGAGAGCCUGAACCAGCCAAGUCGCGUGCGGGAUGACUGCCCUACGGGUUGUAAACUUCUUUUGUACGGGAGUAACACGCCUUACGUGUAGAGCGUUGACAGUACCAUAUGAAUAAGCAUCGGCUAACUCCGUGCCAGCAGCCGCGGUAAUACGGAGGAUGCGAGCGUUAUCCGGAUUUAUUGGGUUUAAAGGGUGCGUAGGCGGCAUUAUAAGUUAGUGGUAAAAUAUUGGGGCUUCACCUCACUACGACAUGAAUACUGUAGAGCUAGAGAACAGACGAGGUAGGCGGAAUAAGUUAAGUAGCGGUGAAAUGCAUGGAUAUAACUUAGAACACCGAUAGCGAAGGCAGCUGACCAGACUGAGUCUGACGCUGAUGCACGAGAGCAUGGGUAGCGAACAGGAUUAGAUACCCGUGUAGUC